GACGAACGCUGGCGGCGUGCUUAACACAUGCAAGUCGAACGGAAAGGCCCUGCUUUUGUGGGGUGCUCGAGUGGCGAACGGGUGAGUAACACGUGAGUAACCUGCCCUUGACUUUGGGAUAACUUCAGGAAACUGGGGCUAAUACCGUAUAGGAUCUCCUGCUGCAUGGUGGGGGUUGGAAAGUUUCGGCGGUUGGGGAUGGACUCGCGGCUUAUCAGCUUGUUGGUGGGGUAGUGGCUUACCCAGGCUUUGACGGGUAGCCGGCCUGAGAGGGUGAACGGCCACAAUGGGACUGAGAUACGGCCCAGACUCCUACGGGAGGCAGCAGGGGGGAAUAUUGCACAAUGGGCGGAAGCCUGAUGCAGCGACGCCGCGUGCGGGAUGACGGCCUUCGGGUUGUAAACCGCUUUCGCCUGUGACGAAGCGUGAGUGACGGUAAUGGGUAAAGAAGCACCGGCUAACUACGUG
RNAcentral lists this ribosomal RNA (468 nucleotides) under uncultured bacterium. Its description in RNAcentral is "partial 16S ribosomal RNA". It matches the Rfam family "Bacterial small subunit ribosomal RNA", at positions 28 to 507 of the family's 1533-position model. The record is from RNAcentral.